GAUGAAGAACGCAGCGAAAUGCGAUAAGUAAUGUGAAUUGCAGAAUUCAGUGAAUCAUCGAAUCUUUGAACGCACAUUGCGCCCGCCAGCACUCUGGCGGGCAUGCCUGUUCGAGCGUCAUUUCAACCAUCAAGCCCCCAGGGGCUUGUGCUGGGGCCCUGCGGCUGCCCGCAGGCCCUGAAAACCAGUGGCGGGCUCGCUAGUCACACCGAGCGCAGUAGCACAUCUCGCUCAGGGCGUGCGGCGGGCUCCUGCCGUGAAACCCCCCACUGUAACCCCAAAGGUUGACCUCGGAUCAGGUAGGAAUACCCGCUGAACUUAAGCAUACCAAUAAGCGGAGGA
RNAcentral lists this unclassified non-coding RNA (342 nucleotides) under soil metagenome. RNAcentral's name for it is "partial contains 5.8S ribosomal RNA, internal transcribed spacer 2, and large subunit ribosomal RNA". The stretch from base 1 to 120 matches the Rfam family "5.8S ribosomal RNA", at positions 35 to 154 of the family's 154-position model. The record is from RNAcentral.